CGCUGCGGAGCGAACAGAGGGAGCUUCAAAGAGGCAGCAGCCUGUCCGCCCAGAGAGGAGAGCAGCAGUCCGGCUGUGAUGCUAUCGCGGCUGUGCGGGCUGAGCAGCAGUCUGAUGGGAUAAAACCUUCCGCUCUCAUUUAACCUCACUCUGUGUCCCUGUGCACGCGCAUCUCUCUCUCUCUCUCUCUCUCUCUCUCUCUCUCUCUGUGUGUGUGUGUGUGUUUCGCGAGCCCCGAGAAAUGCUCUUGUAGCGCGAGCACGAAUGAUAAAUUUCUAGCUUCUCAGAAAUUUUCGAACUUGGAGCAAGUUUUCUUCUUUUUUUCUGUUUUUUAAAAACUUGAAUUGCAUUCGAGUCGUUCUUUUGGAGCACCCAAAAGCCGCAGGACGAGAUGGAGAGCGAAAAGUACUUGCCGGAGCUUAUGGCAGAGAAGGACACGCUGGAUCCGUCUUUUCAGCACUCCCUGCGGCUACUGGAUCAAGAGAUUGAAAAAAUUCAGAAAGAUGAGGGGAAGGAAGAGGAGAAGUUCAUCGACGUCGUCAUCAACAAGAACAUGAAACUGGGCCAGAAAGUUUUAAUACCAGUCAAGCAGUUUCCUAAAUUCAACUUUGUCGGCAAACUCCUCGGGCCACGCGGGAACUCGUUAAAGAGACUACAGGAGGACACUCUCACAAAGAUGUCAAUUCUUGGAAAAGGAUCCAUGAGAGACAAAGAAAAGGAAGAAGAGCUACGGCAGAGCGGCGAGGCCAAAUAUCACCACCUGAACGAAGACCUGCACGUCCUCAUCGAGGUGUUCGCCCCACCGGCUGAGGCCUAUGCCAGGAUGGGUCACGCUCUGGAGGAGAUCAAAAAGUUUCUCAUACCAGAUUACAAUGAUGAGAUCAGACAGGCCCAGCUGCAGGAGCUCACAUACCUGAACGGUGGAUCGGAGGAUGCCAAGGUGCCAUCGGUGAGGGGAAAGUCAGCCGCCCGUGGAAGAGGGACACCUGUUCCAGGGCCUCCCAGGAGUCGCGGUGGAGUUCCUCCCCUGCAUGCAGCAGUGCCUCGAGGAGCAGCACCCAGAGGGGCCCCACCCAGCCGGGCUCCAUCCUCCAGAGGGAGGGGGGUGCAGAGAGCCCGAGGUGCUCCCCCAGCUGCAGGUUACAGGCCGGCUCCUCCCAUAGUCCAGGACACAUACGGAGAAUAUGAAUAUGACGACGGCUACGGAACAGCUUAUGACGACCAAGGAUAUGAAUCAUAUGACAACAACUACACUAACCAAGGACAAAACUCAGAUGACUACUAUGAAUACGGACACAGUGGGGAAUCAUAUGAUUCGUAUGGUCAGGAAGAGUGGGCAAACAAUCGCGGCAAGGCUCCGUCAGCACGAACAGCCAAGGGAGUGUACAGAGAUCAGCCAUACUCCAGAUAUUGAACUGUUUAUACAACCUGCACCUGAGUCCUCAUGGCUGUUUCAACCCAAGUCGAAGUCCUGGCUACACAGCUCCGUCCAUCCAAUCAUCUCACUGGUGCUAAAGACUUGAUGACCCACGCAAGCGUCCCUCCAAACAUUCGAGCCCACACAAUGUCAAACCAAAUCCCGAUGAAAAAAUUCCAUCCAGCUUCAAGGAUCUGCCCUCGACCAAACAGAGGGCUUUCAAAUUUCCACAGCCUGGACUGAGGUGGAGUGACCUGUUGAGAUGCAGAAAACGGGGCCAAAGAUAAUGCAUGUAUCACACAUAAUCAUUCUCUGGAAAAAAAAAAAAAAAAAAGGAGGGAGGUGGAGGAAAAUCGCGAGGUAAAUGGAGUUCCUCAUCCUCUGGGACGAUCUGUCAGAGAAGAUUUCCUUCAGAGCUUCACAUACAUUUUACAUACCGACUGUGAAGCUGACCUGCGUCUUUCUUGAUUCAGACUGUUGUUAGAGGAGAUGUGUCUACCUCUUACAUUAGACAUUACCUGUCAUCUCCUUGGAAGGAUGAGUAAAUAAAUAAUGUGUUAUGCUAAGGGAAGGGCAUCAUAAUUGCAACAAAGGCAGUGCUAUUGUCAUACUUUUGUGCUCAUCAACCUAUAUCAUCUACGCUCCGAUGAAUAAAUAAUUCACAAAGUGCCUUAUUGUCGCAUUGUUAUGACAGUUUUAGAUGUUUAGUUCCACUGCUGUACUUAAAAUAUGGGGCAGUACACUAAGAAAGGUAGUUUUUUUCCCCUCUUCUGUGUUGUUCUUUCCCUACACACCAUUACUGCGAUGCUGGAAAACACCCCCCAGCUUCACACAAAAGUACAGUCUAGCCCAGAUGUAUUGCUUAAUCAGAAUCGACUUCAGUGGAUAUUACAAUUCCAAAAUAGCUUUCUAUCGGAUAGAGAGCUUCAUUCUGUCUUGUGCAUAAGUCCAGAUAGGCUGAUCCGUAUUCUGCACAGUUGUAUGUCCUCAGUGGCAGACAAUAGUUUUCCAUUAGAGGAAGUGAUUCUCUCUGGAGCUCCGGGCCAAGCCUCAGACAAUAAGACGGCGACCUAAAGCUCACAUCUCCAGCUCCCAGAGUCAACUCUCAUCACCUCGGGGGCUGAUUCCCACUCUAAAGUGGCUUAAAGUGACAGGCUUAUCUGAAGUAAGCUUGUCCAAGUUAAUAAAGUAAGAGCAGCUUAUUUGAUUAAGAAUGCAUACAAAGGAGGAUGUAGUGAUCUGUCACUGGGAGACAAGUCAAUUUCGAUGCUAGAAUACAGAUCUACGGGUUCCAAACAGUGGAGACAGAAACAAUGGAAGAUCUACAGCAAAACUAGGAGUAGCUCAACCAGCUUCUUACUAUGAGUGGUGCAGUCCUUUAUAAAUCACUAUGUCCUGCUAAAAUUAGAACACUUCUGAUGGUUUCAAAUAAGGAAUUUCAGUGUUUGUCUAUUUGCUUUAAGUGGGCAGGGCUUCUAGUCAGAGUAGCAACAUUUUUUUUUUGGCCUUUUUUGAUAGGUACAGUGGAGACAGACAGGAAAGGAAGGAGAAGAGUGGGGGGAAGACAUGCAGCAGAGGGCCGUACGCAGGAAUCAAACCUGGGCCGCUGUGUUGGGGACCAGGACCUGUACAUGGGUCGCCCUCAACCCACUGAGCUAUCCAGGCACCCCGGACUAGCAGCAUCUGAGUGAAAAUUUGACCUCUUGAGGGGGUUGUUUGAAUUUCUAGAAUUGUCAGUCAAAUCUGAUCAAACCACACCCACCCAGUAGCCAGUUGUAUGCAGCUAGCAAGCAGUUAGUGUAGCUUUACAUAAAAAUGGAAACAGCUAACCAGGGUCUCUUCACCAGUAAUAAAAUCUGCCUACCAGCACCUCUAAAGCUCAUUAACUCAACUCAUGUUGUCUGUCUAAUGCAUACCAAUAAGAAAAAACAUUGCCAAUCUAGAUGCCACUAUGUGUGUCUUUUAUAAUGUGUUUCCAGGGUCCUUGGGCAUACUCGAAUGGAAUAAGUUUUUGUUUGCAGGGAAAUGAGAAAGACCAGGUAAAACUGUGCUGCUUCCAGCUUAUUAAUUUAUUGUCUCCACAACUAAAUAGACAAAUUGUAGUAUUCUAUCCAUAUUGGUUGCAAAGUUCCUCUAUGUUGCUGAUCAAACUCCUAAAAAAACAUCUGUGUGCAUACAUGUUUGCUGCUUUUGGUUUUGUGUUGUUGUUUUUUUUUUUUAUAUUAAUCCCUUCCAGCCUUAAAAUAACCAAGAUGUAACUCCACAUUGUGACGUCCUUUAGAAUGUACACAUCCAUAAAGUCCCCGCCUCCUCUACACACACAACUCAAAACUUGUUACAGCUCAAGCACACCAGCUCAUCUGUAAUUUUACUCAAACACAACUAUGCAAGUUGUAGUAGUGGAGUAAUGCAGCCAUACAUGUUCAAACCAGAAUCUGAUAUUAGUCAGAAAGCCUCCUUGUACAAGUAGACAGGAUCGGUUCUUUAUGUUGGUGCUGUCAUCUUUACACUGCUGUUUCAAAGUAGAGAUACUCAGGCACGCCGCUGACUGCUUAUUUCAUUCAUGAUUUUUCUUUUAGUAGAUAGAAAACAUCACCUUGACCUGAUCACAAACUAAAACUAGAAAAGCACUCAGACAGCGGCGUACUCCGCCAAGGCUGUUCAUUCCCCCAUAUGGCAUUGUCAGAAAUGCAGCAUUUUUUGUAGAAAUGCAGCAUUUGUUUAUUAGUUAUUUAUGAUCAAAAAUUAUGGAAACAUGGGAUGUGGCCAUUUAAUAUAGAUGUACCCACAAACUAAAUGACCUUGCGCUGAGCACAGGCGUGUGUUAUGCAUGUGUACAUUAUAUACGGAUACCAAAUCACGUGACCUAAAUGUCUACACCCUUACAAUUUAAUCAAUUGUUCCUUGUAUCAUUUCCAAUGGAUUAGUCCUGAUAAGUCUGCAGUGGUCAAUUGCAAUCAUGUGAUCGUCACAGGCAGUUGACGUAGCGUUCACUUGUUGUCAUAGUUAUAGUGACGCCAUGUCACUAUCUCAGUGAUACAGACAUUUUUAACAAAUCCAUGGAUCCAGACUAUAAGCCCCGUCACUGCCAAAAUCUAAUCACUUGGUACUUGUGUCACUUCUGACCUUCCCAGAAAAUUUCAUCCAAAUCCCUUAGUCCGUUAUAGAGUAAUGUUGCUAACAGACAGACAGACAAACGUACACUGAUUGUCACUUAACUCUGCUGCAUUCCCUGGCAGAGUAAUAAAUUUCAUUUUCACAGAAGGGGGUCCUUAAUUACAUUCCCUUAAAAGCAAAUACAGGAAUAGACUAUGUUGGGAAGAUCUAACCAGUAGCAUGCCUCAGUUUUACUGCCCUACAUAUGUAGUGGUCACUUUAUUCUGGCUGCUCUGGAAAAAGAAAAAAAAAAAACAAAAACAAAACCUGAGGCUUUUUGAUUCUGUGAAGAGUGCUUUUCCACUAGUAUUCCUCUUAAUCAUGUCGGGGAUCUAAAGCGGCCGCCUCCUGCCGUUUCUUCUGUAAUUAACUGGAGGGCUCUUAAUCUUAGCGAGAUUAAAACGCUCUGAUCAAUGUUGAAGUGUCCCUGUGUCUCCUUUGGAAGCGAGUGCUAAUGCGACCACGGGUCAGUGUGUGUCGCCUGCUAAGUGGAUGCUCAGAUUGAGAAGGAUCGAUCAUCGCAGGCCUUUCAGGGCUGAAAAACAGCCAAGACGCAGAGGAUGGAGAUCUUUUCAAUCUAAAAUAUACUCAAAGAAAAUGUCAUUAUGUGGGAAAUAUAAUUUCAUUUUUGUAAUUAGCAUUUUAUUCAAAGCUGAGAACAAGAUGUGGAAAAAAACAAUUAAAGGAAAUUAAAGCAAGGUUAUCAGAAUGGAGAGGAAAAUUUCUGAUUAAAAGUAAAUCACAGGUAGACAAAGGCGAUGAAAAAAGAAAAGAAAGAAACAUUAACAGUGAAGGAAACAUGCAAAGUGUUUGUAAGGAAAAGCACAGACUGGAAACAUUCUAUACAAAUGUAUGCAAAGUCAAUAUAUGCUUGUAAUUGUGCAUAUUGUACAUUAUGUAUUAUUUUAUUGUGCUGUCGUGCAUUGAAAGCAUUCUGAGGUCCAUGUUGAGGUUGUAGAGAUGCUCACUGGUAAUAAAGUUCUCCUCUUGUUGAUAAAAAGCA
RNA transcript from Amphiprion ocellaris (clown anemonefish), 5576 nucleotides. It is a transcript of the gene named KH domain containing, RNA binding, signal transduction associated 3, with no coding region annotated. Lineage: Eukaryota; Metazoa; Chordata; Actinopteri; Pomacentridae. The transcript is spliced from 11 exons. The record is from RefSeq and is a predicted model, not a curated record.